UACGGGGGGGGGCAAGCGUUGUUCGGACUUACUGGGCGUAAAGGGCUCGUAGGCGGCCAACUAAGUCGGAUGUGAAAUCCCCAGGCUUAACCUGGGAACUGCGUCGGAUACUGGAUGGCUUGAAUCCGGGAGAGGGAUGCAGAAUUCCAGGUGUAGCGGUGAAAUGCGUAGAUAUCUGGAGGAAUACCGGUGGCGAAGGCGGCAUCCUGGACCGGCAUUGACGCUGAAGCGCGAAAGCUAGGGGAGCAAACGGG
RNAcentral lists this ribosomal RNA (254 nucleotides) under uncultured bacterium. Its description in RNAcentral is "partial 16S ribosomal RNA". It matches the Rfam family "Bacterial small subunit ribosomal RNA", at positions 524 to 776 of the family's 1533-position model. The record is from RNAcentral.